RNAcentral lists this ribosomal RNA (48 nucleotides) under Scolecobasidium constrictum. RNAcentral describes it as "Ochroconis constricta partial 26S ribosomal RNA". The record is from RNAcentral. Lineage: Eukaryota; Fungi; Ascomycota; Dothideomycetes; Venturiales; Sympoventuriaceae.
UAUAAAAAUUAUGUGUAUGAUAGACUACGACACACACACAGUUUGGCC